CGCAGCGACGCCGCGUGAGGGAUGAAGGCCUUCGGGUCGUAAACCUCUUUCAGCAGGGAAGAAGCGCAAGUGACGGUACCUGCAGAAGAAGCACCGGCUAACUACGUGCCAGCAGCCGCGGUAAUACGUAGGGUGCAAGCGUUGUCCGGAAUUAUUGGGCGUAAAGAGCUCGUAGGCGGUCUGUCGCGUCUGCUGUGAAAACCUAGGGCUUAACUCUGGGCGUGCAGUGGGUACGGGCAGACUAGAGUGCGGUAGGGGAGACUGGAAUUCCUGGUGUAGCGGUGAAAUGCGCAGAUAUCAGGAGGAACACCGGUGGCGAAGGCGGGUCUCUGGGCCGUAACUGACGCUGAGGAGCGAAAGCAUGGGGAGCGAACAGGAUUAGAUACCCUGGUAGUCCAUGCCGUAAACGUUGGGCGCUAGGUGUGGGGUCCAUUCCACGGAUUCUGCGCCGCAGCUAACGCAUUAAGCGCCCCGCCUGGGGAGUACGGCCGCAAGGCUAAAACUCAAAGGAAUUGACGGGGGCCCGCACAAGCGGCGGAGCAUGCGGAUUAAUUCGAUGCAACGCGAAGAACCUUACCAAGGCUUGACAUGGGGUGAAAACUCGCAGAGAUGCGGGGUCCGCAAGG
Molecule: ribosomal RNA, 626 nt
Filed under: Kineosporia sp. Ri1Pw_5661
Lineage: Bacteria; Bacillati; Actinomycetota; Actinomycetes; Kineosporiales; Kineosporiaceae
Description: bacterial SSU rRNA
Rfam family: Bacterial small subunit ribosomal RNA
Source: RNAcentral